CAGUCGCCACGGUAAUACGAGGGGGGCAAGCGUUGUUCGGAAUUAUUGGGCGUAAAGGGCGCGUAGGCGGUUUGACAAGUCUGAUGUGAAAUCUCUGGGCUCAACCCAGAGUCUGCAUCGGAAACUGUCGAGCUUGAGUAUGGGAGAGGUGAGUGGAAUUUCCGGUGUAGCGGUGAAAUGCGUAGAUAUCGGAAGGAACACCUGUGGCGAAAGCGGCUCACUGGACCAUUACUGACGCUGAGGCGCGAAAGCUAGGGGAGCAAACAGGAUUAGAUACCCCAGUAGUCCCUGUCUCUUAUAC
Molecule: ribosomal RNA, 301 nt
Filed under: uncultured bacterium
Lineage: Bacteria
Description: partial 16S ribosomal RNA
Rfam family: Bacterial small subunit ribosomal RNA
Source: RNAcentral